Long non-coding RNA from Macrobrachium nipponense, 483 nucleotides. RefSeq lists it as uncharacterized. NCBI's taxonomy places the organism in Eukaryota, Metazoa, Arthropoda, Malacostraca, Decapoda, Palaemonidae. The transcript is spliced from 3 exons. The record is from RefSeq and is a predicted model, not a curated record.
GUAAGGUUAGCAAGACCAUUGCCCUUACAUACAUUUUUAUUUAUGCACUUAUAGAUAAAUGGGAUUUAAAUAGUACAGCGUCAGAAAUGUUGGUGUGUCCGUAGUGCAGUCAUAGGGGUAGACUAUCACAACGGCCAUCGACCCGGAAUGCGGCCACCCUCCCAAAAAAGUACUUUAAUUCGCUUCCACGAGCAUCAGUUAGAUUUGUGGCCCAACUAGGCAGCACACCGAGUCCUCUACGGGCCUUUCGAAGUUUGGGAAGAAUGAGGAGUCCUUCAGGCCAGGGGUUGUCUUCAAAAUCACACUUUUCUGGACUAGUUACAGUACUAUAGGAUAGUCUUAGAGCCAAGAGCUUCAUUUGAACGGUAUGACCUGGAAAAGCAAGACCUGCAAGGAGCCUUUUUAAUCCAGAAAUUGCCUUCAUAAUUUUUCCAAUACUCAUUGUAUAUUUUGAUAAUCACAUGACCAUGAUCUUCAUUGGCA